This 1184-nucleotide long non-coding RNA is filed under the name Vulpes vulpes (red fox). Its description in RNAcentral is "lncRNA (ENSVVUG00000023956.1)". The record is from RNAcentral. Lineage: Eukaryota; Metazoa; Chordata; Mammalia; Carnivora; Canidae.
CCAGUGCCCGCAGCGCCCUCCUGUCCCACCGCCCACCCCCCGCGUCCUACCUUGGUGUCCCCCGGGGCUGUACAUCCGGAGACAGCUGAAGGGAGAAGCAGAAGGGUCUGCUACGUGGACUGCACCUUGAUAUUGUAGAUCUAAACAGCUAAAAGGAAGAUGGAACCGAGAGGUGAGAAAUGGGCUCAUGGGGGGGGGGGGGAGACCUUUAGGAAUUCCUGAAGGAAUUGCUCAAUCUAUUGUGCUUUCCCCAAAUAAAAGGCAUCAUCUGCAGGGGCCAAGUUACUCAGUGCCCAUUUUCUGGAACCAGGUUCCCACCUCCCCUCUGCACCAGGCCCCGUGACUGGGGCACUUCUUUGAGAGUGUACGCCCCAAAUGAGAAGACAAGCCCCCUGCAGAAAACUCUGGGGCUCAAGCAAGUGCUGGACACAGAAGAAAAAUCCAGAAUCGGCCACGUGGUGCAGGUGAACUCAGGACAGCUGUUCUCUAGAAACACUACAGCAGUGGUGUGUGGGCCGGAAGUGCUUGAGCGUGCAUGGGGCCUCUCUGGGGCCUCAGGGUCUCAGGGCGGCAGGAAGGUGUGGACAGGCCUGUCCCGGAGGCACCACUGCCUCAAUCAGCGAGCUGAUAAACACGCCUCAUGUUUCCCGAGAGCUUCCCUCUCUGUCGUGACUGGUGUGGUUCACAGAGAACAAGUCAUGUGGACUCCACGAAGACUCUGCCCUAUUAUAAACGAUAAGUUGAUCUCGUUAUUACCCGACUUCACCCCCCGUGGUGGUAAACAGAUCACCACGUUUAUGCUGGCACAUGAGAGACAGGAUUAUUUGCUUUUGUUCUCUACAAGAGGCCUUCUUUUCUUCUCGGAAUUAGAAUGGCACACAAACCCCACUGACCCCCGCAGCCUGCCUGUGGGAUUACAUCCUGCUCCUUCGUAUUUCGAGUCUGGUCUGGGAAACAAAGGUCAGACCCAAGUAGGUGGGGCGGGGGCGGGGGUGGAGGUUGACAGGGAUUCCAUGCUGAGAGAGAGACGGAAUGCAGGGCCCAUCUGUCUGCCAACCGGAGGGUUUUCCUCUCUAUCAACAGUGUAUUAACUUGUUCUGCACAGAAAAAAUGUAAAUUGUUCAUAAUUAAAAGACACACAUUGGACACUGAGAAUUAAUAGGAAAAACAUGAAUUUGUUAACA